RNAcentral lists this ribosomal RNA (301 nucleotides) under Escherichia coli. RNAcentral describes it as "bacterial SSU rRNA". It matches the Rfam family "Bacterial small subunit ribosomal RNA", at positions 442 to 735 of the family's 1533-position model. The record is from RNAcentral. Lineage: Bacteria; Pseudomonadati; Pseudomonadota; Gammaproteobacteria; Enterobacterales; Enterobacteriaceae.
AGGAGGAAGGCGUUGUGGUUAAUAACCGCAACGAUUGACGUUACUCGCAGAAGAAGCACCGGCUAACUCCGUGCCAGCAGCCGCGGUAAUACGGAGGGUGCAAGCGUUAAUCGGAAUUACUGGGCGUAAAGCGCACGCAGGCGGUCUGUCAAGUCGGAUGUGAAAUCCCCGGGCUCAACCUGGGAACUGCAUCCGAAACUGGCAGGCUAGAGUCUUGUAGAGGGGGGUAGAAUUCCAGGUGUAGCGGUGAAAUGCGUAGAGAUCUGGAGGAAUACCGGUGGCGAAGGCGGCCCCCUGGACA